This 317-nucleotide ribosomal RNA is filed under the name uncultured eukaryote. RNAcentral's name for it is "partial 18S ribosomal RNA". It matches the Rfam family "Eukaryotic small subunit ribosomal RNA", at positions 1470 to 1796 of the family's 1831-position model. The record is from RNAcentral.
CCCUUAGAUGUCCUGGGCCGCACGCGUGCUACACUGACACCUGCAACGAGUUAUUCCAGCUCCGAAAGGCAGUUGGUAAUCAGAAAUAGGUGUCGUGAUGGGGAUAGACCCUUGGAAUUAUGGAUCUUGAACGAGGAAUGCCUAGUAAGCGCACGUCAUUAGCGUGCGCUGAUUAAGUCCCUGCCCUUUGUACACACCGCCCGUCGCUCCUACCGAUUUCGAGUGGUCCGGUGAGCCUUUUGGAGAGUGAGCGUCCUUGAGGCGCUUGCUCGAAGUCAGGCAAAUCUUNCNACUUAGNGGAAGGAUAANUCGUANCA